AUUUAUAGGAAACCACAAGAAUACUCAAAUAUCCUAAGCAAUCUCAAGAAAAAUGAACAAGUCUGGAGUGUCCUAAUUUGAAAACAUAUUACAAAGCUACAGUAAUCAAAACAGUAUGGUAUUUGCAUUAAAGGAGACACAUAGACCAAUGAAACAGAAUAGAGAGCUCAGAAAUAAAUUCACCCAUUUAUGGUCAACUGAUCCUUGACAAAGUUUCCAAAAAUACACAAUGAGAAAAACACAGCCUCUUCAAUAAAUGAUGUUGGGCAAACUGGAUGUCCACAUGCAGAAAAAAAUAAAAAUAAAAAUAAAUAAGACCUUUCUCUUACACUAUACACAAAAAAAUGAACUCUAAACUAAUUAAAGACUUAAAUCUGAAACCAUAACACCCCUUGAAGAAAACCAGAGAGAAAAAGCUCUUUGACAUUGGUCUUGGCAAUAAAUUUUUAAAAUAUGAUCCUAAAAGUACCAGCAACAAAAGCAAAAAUGAACAGGUGGGACUACAUCAGACCAAGCACUUCUUCUUCACAGCCAAGAAAAAAAUUCAACAAAAUGAAAAAGCAACCUAUGAAAUAAAAGAAAAUAUUUGCAAGCCAUGUAUUGAUAAAAGGUGAAUGUCCAAAAUUUACAAAGAAUCUGCACAACUCAAUACCAAUAAACCAAAUAAUGUACAAAGACUUGAAUAGACAUUUCUCUAAAGAAGACAUGCAAAUGGCCAAUGAGUAUAUGAAAAAGUGCUCAACAUCACAAUCAUCAGAUAAAUGCAAAUCAAAACCAUGGUAAGAUAUUACCUCGCACCUGUUAGGAUGGCUAUUAUCAAAAAGACAAGAGAUAACAGUUUUGGCUUGGGUGUGGAGAACCCAAGCUUGUAUACUAUUGUUGGGGAUGUAAAUUAGUAUAGCCAUUAUAAAAAACAAUAUAUAAUUCCUUUAAAAAAGUAGAACUACCUUAUGAUCCAGGAAUCCUACUUCUGGGUAUAUAUCCAAAGGAAAUGAAAUCAGUACCUUGAAGAGAUAGCUACACCCCCAUGUUCAUUACAGCAUUAUCCACAAUAUCCACAAUAUGGAAACAACCCAAGUGUCUCUCAACAGAUAAAUGGAUAAAUCAAAAACAUGGUAUACGCAUGCACACACACACCUUCUCA
RNAcentral lists this long non-coding RNA (1144 nucleotides) under Homo sapiens (human). RNAcentral's name for it is "LHRI_LNC1446.1". Lineage: Eukaryota; Metazoa; Chordata; Mammalia; Primates; Hominidae. The record is from RNAcentral.